UACGGGGGGUGCGAGCGUUGUCCGGAAUUAUUGGGCGUAAAGAGCUCGUAGGCGGUUUGUCGCGUCUGGUGUGAAAACUCAAGGCUCAACCUUGAGCUUGCAUCGGGUACGGGCAGACUAGAGUGUGGUAGGGGUGACUGGAAUUCCUGGUGUAGCGGUGGAAUGCGCAGAUAUCAGGAGGAACACCGAUGGCGAAGGCAGGUCACUGGGCCACUACUGACGCUGAGGAGCGAAAGCAUGGGGAGCGAACAGG
Molecule: ribosomal RNA, 253 nt
Filed under: uncultured bacterium
Lineage: Bacteria
Description: partial 16S ribosomal RNA
Rfam family: Bacterial small subunit ribosomal RNA
Source: RNAcentral